AACUGAAGAGUUUGAUCAUGGCUCAGAUUGAACGCUGGCGGCAGGCUUAACACAUGCAAGUCGAGCGGGGGAAGGUAGCUUGCUACUGGACCUAGCGGCGGACGGGUGAGUAAUGCUUAGGAAUCUGCCUAUUAGUGGGGGACAACAUCUCGAAAGGGAUGCUAAUACCGCAUACGUCCUACGGGAGAAAGCAGGGGAUCUUCGGACCUUGCGCUAAUAGAUGAGCCUAAGUCGGAUUAGCUAGUUGGUGGGGUAA
Molecule: ribosomal RNA, 256 nt
Filed under: Acinetobacter baumannii
Lineage: Bacteria; Pseudomonadati; Pseudomonadota; Gammaproteobacteria; Moraxellales; Moraxellaceae
Description: partial 16S ribosomal RNA
Rfam family: Bacterial small subunit ribosomal RNA
Source: RNAcentral